Salvelinus namaycush (lake trout) is the source of this 934-nucleotide long non-coding RNA. RefSeq lists it as uncharacterized. Lineage: Eukaryota; Metazoa; Chordata; Actinopteri; Salmoniformes; Salmonidae. The transcript is spliced from 3 exons. The record is from RefSeq and is a predicted model, not a curated record.
AGAGGUUUGUUCCCAUCGAACAGAACUGCACUCAUAUUGGCGUGCAAGAUAAUGGGGAUGAGGGAAACCCAGAAGCCACACAAACACACACAGUUAUAUAAGAAUGGACAGGGGAUAGCCAUACAGCGCAGAUCACUAAAACCACGUCUGGAAUACACGAGGACCCCGGUUCUCAUUUUAUGCAUUUUGGGAUCAUGAUUCAACCUACGGGUAACAGGACAAUAAAGUUAUAAAUAGACCUAUACAUUAUUGUUUUUAAAUUGUAGUAUUAUAACCAUCGAAACGCACAUUAACAUUACGCUUACCAUAGUUUAUUACAGCAAAGGCGAAGUCAACCAAUGUGCGUAAAGUUGCCUAUGUAGCAGGUAUGUAGGCUAUACACUCUGAAUGCUCUGUCAAAGGGCGAGCUACCGUAUAGGCUACCGUAUAGGCUACCGUAUAAACACAACAGAUACCAACAACAGAUCAACAGUAUUUCUUACUCAACUUCAAAACACCAGCUCUCACGCUCCGGUCACAGAAGCUAUAGCAAUACAGACACACAAACUCACCCAGUCAGGUAGUACAGGAUAAUUGAGAGCCGCAGCGGGGCUUGAACCAGCGAGUCUGUGCCCCUAGAAAACGUCCCCUAGUCAUAGCCUGGAGGGUGAAUGAACGUAAAGCACUUUACCUUGCCUGCAUAGUAUGAGUUACUGUCGCGUCCCCUGCCACGCCGGCGCUCAUCCUCCAGCCACGGACACAGCCACGGACACAGCCACGGACACAGGAGGGAGACGCGCGGAGUCGUACGCGUCGGACGGUUCCCGGUGCUGAAAGGAGAAGGGCGAACUGCGCUCGGCGCGGAAAAGAAGAGGCCGUUUGUUUUUGCUCUAUGGUGACGUCGGCAGUCGAUCCUGCAGGUGAAGAAUCCGGAUGUGGAGGUCCUGGGCUGGCG